RNAcentral lists this long non-coding RNA (1890 nucleotides) under Canis lupus familiaris (dog). RNAcentral's name for it is "lncRNA (ENSCAFG00845030742.1)". Lineage: Eukaryota; Metazoa; Chordata; Mammalia; Carnivora; Canidae. The record is from RNAcentral.
AAUAAAAACCUUCCACGAGAGCAACUAGGCACUGUAUAUCAAAGAUUCAGGAAAAAAAGAAAUAAAUGUACACCCUCUACCCCCAAUAAUUCCAUUUCUGGGAAUCUUGCUAAAGAAAAUAAUCCUAAACUUGGAAGAGUUAUCUGUGUAAAGAUGUUUAUUAAGGUUAUUUAGAAGGGAAGAGAGUGCAAAUGUCCCAAAUGCUCAAUAAAUAAGGUAAUAUUGAACUAAACUAAAAUAUGCUCAUUUGAUGAUAUAUUGAAUAGUUUUGUUUUUUGUUUUUUUUUUAAGUAUCAAAAGCACAUAAAUGAAGUAUUAGGUCAUCUUUUAAAUACCAUUUCCAACUAAAAGGAGUAAAGUUCUCUUAAAAAAUGACUGAUUAUGGGUCUGCAGCAGGGGAAAUGCAAAUCUGAAAUAUUUUCUGUAACAAAACAAGUUAACUGCUUAAAGAUUGAUGGGACCAAGUCAAAAGGACACAGAAGCUUCUUUAAAGAGCUCCUCUUGGCCAAAUUUGGGACAAUCUGAGCAUCAAAAAAGGAAUAACAGGGAUCCCUGGGUGGCGCAGCGGUUUGGCGCCUGCCUUUGGCCCAGGGCAUGAUCCUGGAGACCCAGGAUCGAAUCCCACGUCAGGCUCCCGGUGCAUGGAGCCUGCUUCUCCCUCUGCCUGUGUCUCUGCCCCUCUCUCUCUCUCUCUCUGUAUGACUAUCAUAAAUAAAUUAAAAAAAAAAAAAGGAAUAACAGUAAUAAUGGUAACAAAUUAUAUCACACUGAAUAGAUAGAUAAAUACAUAAUUUUUGAGACCAUGGGGAUGAAAGAGAAACAGAGAGACAGAGAAGCAGCAGAGCAGCAGCUUUUUUUUUUUUACAAGAGAAUACUAGAUAAUAAAUAAAAGAAAUGACAAAAUUAGAGUCACCAUUUUGCAAUCCCCAGCAUCAUAACAAAUAUAAGCAGAGAUCAUCAAUGGAAGCUAAAAACCACUGGGCAAAUAAUUUUAUUUGUUGGGAACAAAUAAUCAAAGGUCUUCGGAUAUCCCAUGACAGCUUACCCUUAAAUUGUAAAGGAAAGAUCUGAUGAACUCCAAAUUAUCCAAGUGAUCGAGCCCAGCAUCACGAAUAAAAGGACAAAUGUGCACUACGGGCCUACCAGUGUGACAUAGUGGGAAGUCCACAACAUCCCCUAUGUAGUGGUCUUUUCUGAAAUGUCUAACCUAUACUGAAUCAUGAGGAAACUGGAAAAACCCAGAAUGUGGGACAUUCUGCAUGACAGCUGCCCUGGAUGCUUCAUAAUGAUCAAUGUCUGAAAAACAAAUUAACAAUAAUAAAAUGGGGAACUGUUCAAGAUUUUAAAAGACUAAAGAAACUUAACAAAUGCCAUAGGGGGGAGUCCUGGUUAAAUCCUGAAUCUGGUAUAUAUAUAUAUGACAUUUUAAGGGGAAAAAUGGAAAUAAUUUAAUAUGGACUGCAUAAUAGACAACACUAUUGUGGAUGUGUUCAUAUGGUCCUGUAGGAGAAUUCUUUAUUUUUAGGAAAUGGCUGCUGAAUUAUUUAGAGUGAAAGUGUCAUAUUUGCAACUUGCAUCAAACAUUUAAGUUAAAGAGAGAAAGGGAUAAAGUGAAUAUGGCAAAAUGUUAAAAAAAAAAAAGUAGUGAAUUUAGGUGAAGGAUAUACAGAUUUUCACUGUACUUGUUUCUGUGAACUUGUCUGUAGGUUUGACAUUUUUUUAAAAAAAUGGAAGAAAAUAAAGCUCACAAUAAAAAUGGGGAACUAUGCAAUGUUAAGUGAAAAAAAAUAAGGACAUAAAAUUGUGUAUGCCACAAUUAUAGCUAUAUAAAAAUAAGAACAAGAGAAAUGAUCUUUAUUCAUUUCAACAUUUGUUAAGCUCCUGCCACAU